Lampris incognitus (smalleye Pacific opah) is the source of this 6258-nucleotide RNA transcript. It is a transcript of the gene named septin 6, with no coding region annotated. The record is from RefSeq and is a predicted model, not a curated record. The transcript has 11 exons. NCBI's taxonomy places the organism in Eukaryota, Metazoa, Chordata, Actinopteri, Lampriformes, Lampridae.
UUCAGUCCCACACACAACCAUGGCGUCUACCGAGAUAGCCAGGCAAGCAGGAGAGGGUGCUCGCGCUGUCCCUCUUUCAGGCCAUGUUGGCUUUGACAGCAUGCCUGACCAACUGGUUAAUAAGUCUGUCAACCACGGCUUCUGCUUCAACAUCCUCUGUGUUGGGGAGACUGGUCUGGGGAAGUCCACCCUAAUGGAUACUUUGUUCAAUACCAAGUUUGAGGGUGAGCCCACACAGCACAACCAGCCAGGAGUUCAGCUCAAAUCUAACACCUACGAACUCCAAGAGAGCAAUGUGCGCCUCAAACUGACUGUUGUCAAUACUGUAGGCUUCGGAGACCAGAUCAACAAAGAAGACAGCUACAAGUCCAUUGUGGAAUUCAUUGAUGCCCAGUUUGAAGCCUAUCUGCAGGAGGAACUAAAAAUCAAACGCACGCUACAUAACUACCACGACACACGCAUCCAUGCCUGCCUGUACUUUAUCGCUCCCACGGGACACUCCCUCAAAUCCCUGGACUUGGUAACCAUGAAGAAACUUGAUAGCAAGGUCAACAUCAUUCCAAUCAUCGCCAAAUCGGAUGCCAUCUCUAAGAGUGAGCUGACCAAGUUCAAGAUCAAAAUCACAAGUGAGCUGGUCAGCAAUGGGGUCCAGAUAUACCAGUUUCCCACUGAUGAUGAGACGGUGGCAGAGAUCAACUCAACUAUGAAUGGCCAUUUGCCAUUCGCUGUAGUGGGGAGCACAGAGGAGGUGAAGAUCGGGAACAAGAUGGUGAAGGCACGGCAGUAUCCCUGGGGAACGGUGCAGGUGGAAAACGAGAAUCACUGUGACUUUGUGAAACUGAGAGAGAUGCUGAUAAGGGUGAACAUGGAGGACCUGCGAGAGCAGACACACACACGCCAUUAUGAGCUCUAUCGCCGUUGCAAACUGGAAGAGAUGGGCUUUAAGGAUACAGACCCUGAUAGCAAGCCCUUCAGUCUGCAGGAAACGUAUGAGGCCAAAAGAAAUGAGUUCAUGGGCGAGCUGCAGAAGAAGGAAGAGGAGAUGAGGCAGAUGUUCGUCCAGAGGGUCAAAGAGAAGGAGGCUGAGCUUAAAGAAGCAGAGAAAGAGUUGCACGAGAAGUUUGACCGUUUGAAGAAGCUUCACCAGGAUGAGAAGAAGAAACUAGAGGACAAGAAGAAAGCCUUGGAUGAUGAACUCAACAUGUUCAAACAGAAAAAGACUGCUGCGGAGCUCCUGCAGAACCAAGCCCAGCAGGCAGGGGGCUCUACCACACUCAAGAGGGACAAAGAGAGGAAAAACUGAUGUGACCCUUCCCACCCAUUAGAAAGGAAGAAGACAUUUUGCACUGAGAAGUUCAGGAUUCCUGUAGAAAAGUGCCCCUCUCCUCAGCCUGCUGUGAAUGAUUUAUCACCCCAUCAUCCCUGCAGUGCCCUCAUGCCCCCCCACCUACCUUAUUACAACCCUACACAUGUCCCUGGUCAGUGGAAGAACCCAGCCAUUACUGUCCAUGGAAUUAUUUUUUUUACAGAGACACAUUCCUCCUUUUGUUUGUUUGUGCUGACUGAUGCUUGUCUUUCGUAUGUUUUUGUACAAGCCGUUAUUCAGCCCCCCUACCUAAGGAGAGUCCUUUAGUCCCUGUUUACACCUGGCAUUAAUGUUGACAUGUGUCUUGGGUGAUCCGAUCAAAAGUGGAUAGCUCUAAGUACAGGCGAAUGCACUGAAGAUGCACUGAGGACGCAUUGAGAGCCGAUUGUUCAGGCCCCAUUCGGAGGUGGUCUGGGCCGCAUAUGGCCACAUUCUUUUAGCAGUGUGUACACAAAUAUCUUCCUGGCCACAUUCAAGGACCACCUACUCAACUGACGUCCUUUGCGUAAGAGGAGGUAUAUGUACUCAUUCGCAUGCCAAUGGCGUCGUAAUAAAGUGCAAAACAACAAAGAAUUGCACUACUUUUAAUUUCCGGCGGACUAGGCACCACGGGAAGUGCAUUGCUGCUUGCCGUUGGUUAAAAUAAACAACACAUUUCAUCUUUGCAAAAGAAAAUGAUGUAUUUAUUUGCAUAUAGAGUGGGGAAGUGAGAUCUGAUCACGGUCACUCGAGAUGCAUGUGGAGGCACAUUUUAAUGUCAGUAUCUUUAUGCAUGCUCAAUAAUCUAGGUAAGAAAAUCAAAGAGGGUUGAAUGUUUAUUGACAGAUACGUUUCAUUACUCAUUUAAGUGGCCUUUUCAGUCUAAAUUGACUGCAGGUAUCCCCACCCUUAUAAACAAUACAGUUGAUUUUAAUGCCAGGUGUGAAAUGAUGUACUUAGAGCUGUCCACUUGUGAUUGGAUCACCCAAGAUGCAUGUUAAUGCCAGGUGUAAACAGGGCCCCGGUCUCUCUUUAUCAAUGUGUUCUGUUAUUCUUUGCAUGAGCGUGCUUUUAACUUCAACCUACAUGACUACUGUUGUGAUAGGUGAUGUGUGGAGGCUAAGGUGAAACAUGCAUCAACUAGGCAGGCCCCUAUUUGCAAACCGGGUUUUGGUAAAUGGGUUAGAUUAGACAGGGAAGGAAAUAAUAAAGAUUAAAUGCGACUGAGCCGCUGUUCGUGUCGAGCUGGAUUGAAAGUAAUUGGUGCAAAUACCUUUUAUCUAGAAAAAAAACCCGAUUAGGAUUGGAGCCCAGCCUGGUCUGACAAUCCAGUGUCAUGAGACCUGAAAGAAUUGAGCUGUUGACACUGUUGGCAGAGUGAAAUACAGUGCAGCCACAAUUGAAAGGUGAAAAAAGUCCCAUAUGCUGUGUCCAGAAUUAAUUCAAUAAUUUAUUAUUUUCCUUAUUCAUUAUAACAGCUUUUUCAGAAAAAAAAUCUACUUGCAAGUAGUUAACAAAUCUACAGCCGUGUUUUAUGUUUUUAAAUGAAACAUGGUUAAUAUUACAUAGUUAUCAGUUCCGUUGUGAGAUUUUCUUUCUACAAGAUGUUUAGAUGUUAAGAAUCAGUAAAAAGAUAUCCUUUUCUAUGGCUUGAUUUUAAUGCCUACAAAUGGCUCAAAGGAGCAAUCUGAAACUAAAAUCUAGAAAAUAUUGAACUCAUGCAUCAUCAGUUUAAUGUUAAAAAGUUGAUUUUCAUUGCUGAUUUUAUAUAUUGAUAUUUAUUGAUCAGAAUAAGCACUCUUCUUGGUUGAUGUUCAUAUUAGCCUUACACAUCAGUAGACGUUAAUCUCUUCUUUUCACCUCCUCCCAUACCUUAUUCAUCGUCAUGUGCCAUGUUCAUACUUGUAUUAGCCUUCACAUUUGCACUUUUUCCUCAAAUGUGAUUUUUUUUUGUGUGUGUGUGUUUCUAGUGCAAUUGUUACUUUUUUUUCACCCUAUAUGUUUGAAGGCAUAUUUUAAGGUAUUUAACCUAGUAAUAUUCCUGCAGGGACCGAUACUGUGUUUUUUUUAUCAGUGUUACACACACACACACACACAACAACAACAACAACAAAAUAAAGGCCAAUUUUCACAAAAUAUUGCAAUUGUGGCCAUAGUCAUUGUGUUUUAUCAAUAUUGCAAUAUUCUUUAUUUGGUGCUUAAUGACUGAGACUUUUUUGUGAACAGCUGUAUUUCUUAAUAGGAAUGAUUAUUCCAGUUGGUGUCCCACAUUUGAGCCACUAUGUUUUAAAUGUCACUGCUGAUAAUCUGUUUUAACGAGUUCCUCUACUUGUUUAUUUGAAUCUUUAGAGGACUGUGGGGUUUUCAAGGGAAGUUUCUUUGAGCCUCCCUUUGCAUCUUCAAAUAUUUUGCUCAGAAGUGUUUGUUUGUACUCAAACUUUAUUCAAGUGUAUUUGUUAGUUUGACGUGUUGAAAUGGAGAACUUUGAGGAAAUCGUGGGUCCUUUCUAUAGGCUUGAAGAUUGUUCAAAAGGGUGCCGUCCUGACUGUCAACCCACAGCUAUUUUCUGAUUGUUUUGUCACUUUGGAACCACAGGAAGUGGCAGGGUGAAAAUGUACGUCAUCGGGUGUGCCAUUCCCUCCUUCCCUAAUCCCUCACUCACUGGUCUGUGUGUAUUCACUUUUCCUUUGCAGUAAUCCCUGGCUCUGCACUGAGUAGGUCCUCAACCCUCGAGCUUUGCUAAGGGACCAGCCUUUGUGGGUAUUGAGUACUGCACUUGUGACAAGAGGCUUUCUGGACCCCCGCCUUUCUGGGUUUCUUAAUCACAAUUAUCUCUGCAUUAAUAUGUGUUAACAAGAUAUAAUUUGUUUGUGUCUGUAUUUCACAGAUGCUCUAACCCUAAUGUGCUUUCUUUGCGAUAAUUGUGCUCCUUUGCGCAGUUUCUGCUUACUUGUCUACCAGUGCUGUGCGGCUGUGGCGGAUCUCAUGACUAACAAAAUCUUACUUUCUACUUUCUGAAGAAUGCGAUUUUUUUCCGUUUUUUUUUUUUCUUUUUCUAAUUUCUGAGAUGAGAUUGUAAGUGACUAUUUUUGCCUAUUUGAGAUGUCAACAGAAUAUAGACAGAAGCAGUGUCAUUUGAUAGUGUUGGAUAAACACAGAAGCUGUUGAAGUGUGUUAAUUUUUGGAUGAAAUUGAGCAGCAUCAGAAGUGAGCAACACACUGUCAUCAUGACAUGCUGUCAUCGUUUUAGGCAUACACUAGCAUUGAGUUUUUGCCAGGCGUUACAAUGAAGAAGCUUAAACCUCCUCUUGCUGUCUGAUGUCACUUGCGCUUCUCAAUCUGACUCGUGAAUGGCAAAACACAAAAAAAAAACUGAAGCACUUCUGCUUGGGCAUCUCUUCUAACCUGCAAUUUUCCCUUUCUCUUUCUCUUUCUCUUUCUCUAGCUUCUUUUAAUCUGUUUUGGCCACCUGAAGAGGGGAUUGCAGCUUCAGCAAGAACUAAGCACCCUAUACCUCUUCUUGUCUCUCUCACUGCAUAAACACUUUUAAAAAAAUUUUUUUUAAUACUCCAUCUCAUCUGAUCUGUUCAACAUGGCCUUGUGUGGACUCGCAUGGUAUUUUUGACCACCUAAUCAAGCUAAUCCAAGCACGUUGAGGAAUCCUGUGAAAUUGAAUGCUGAAUCGUCAAUUCUGUCUUUAGCAUGUAUAGAGAUGAAUGUUGUGGAAUCAACAGUUGACAAAAAGUGGAAAAUCAAAUAAAUAAAUAAAUAGAUAGAUAGAUAAAUAGGCUUCUGUGCUGCUCCAUGGUGUGCAGAAUGGAUAUUUUAUCAGCAAACAAAAUUGCAGUGUGACCUGCACAAUGCAAAGCCUUCCAUCAUUACAAAAUUUUACACGCACAGAAAAAACACACCUGAAAAAUUAAGGCUUAUUCACCUAAAAAUACAACAUUGAGAGGAAUGGUAACUCACUUUAGCAUAUAUUAUAUGGUUUAUUGUAAUCCCAGAAAAUUGAAUCAGUUCAUCUGGUCACAUCUGUGUCCCGAUGAGCUGAUUCAACAUUCUGGGCGUUCCUUACCUGGAUUAUUGAGCAUGCAUCAAUACGUUUUACUGUAAUGACAUUUAAUGUGUGUCAGUUCAGUUUGAACUGCAAUACCCAGUCUCUCUGGUGUGCAGGUAACUUUCUCAAAUCACUAACUUAUUUUUUUUUCUUUUUUAUGUCAGAAAAAUGCAUAAGCCAAAGCAAUAUUCAUAUCAAAUUCAUGUCAAAUUCCUCAUGUGGGUGCACACUUGGUUAAUAAAGUUGAUUCUGAUUCUGAUAUGAAGCAUUUAAUUGGAGAAACAAUGCCAUCUCGAGACUCGUGCUUGAAUACCAUGGAGGUCACAUUUAAUGCCCUUUACACGUUGUGCUUUAACAAACAGCAGCCUUCUUUGUAUUUUGCAUGCACUCUCCUUUAUUUGUUACUUAUGAUCAUCACUUGUGGUCAUGACUUGCCUAGUAUGUUGUUUUGUCCCUUAAUAGAUAUGUUUUUCUGGUCUAUUUCACAUCUAUCGCUGUACUAUUUAAUUGUUGCAUAUUAUUAAUGUAUAUUUGCACUGUCUUAUAAUUUCAGAACCCAUUUUGCCAAAUAUUACAAUGAGAUGGAGUUGAAUUGAACCCCAGAUAGAGAAAUACUCGUGCAUUUAUAUAAUUUAUAAGGAUAUAUUUUGUGUAUUGAAGUGGAGACUUGUUUAUGAAAUAUGAUCUUUGGACGUGACUUUCACAGUAAAAGUAUCAUUUUGGUGUCAGAAAUUGCCAUACAUUUUUCUAACAUCUGCCAUCACCUCUUGUAGUCAUAUACCCUUCCACACUACAAAUUGCUCAAUAUCUUAUUGUAGUUUGAUUCCGUUGAUGUACAUUUUCAAUAAAAAAUGGU